AACGAACGCUGGCGGCAGGCUUAACACAUGCAAGUCGAACGCCCCGCAAGGGGAGUGGCAGACGGGUGAGUAACGCGUGGGAACAUACCCUUUCCUGCGGAAUAGCUCCGGGAAACUGGAAUUAAUACCGCAUACGCCCUACGGGGGAAAGAUUUAUCGGGGAAGGAUUGGCCCGCGUUGGAUUAGCUAGUUGGUGGGGUAAAGGCCUACCAAGGCGACGAUCCAUAGCUGGUCUGAGAGGAUGAUCAGCCACAUUGGGACUGAGACACGGCCCAAAACUCCUACGGGAGGCAGCAGUGGGGAAUAUUGGACAAUGGGCGCAAGCCUGAUCCAGCCAUGCCGCGUGAGUGAUGAAGGCCUUAGGGUUGUAAAAGCUCUUUCACCGAUGAAGAUAAUGACGGUAGUCGGAGAAGAAGCCCCGGCUAACUUCGUGCCAGCAGCCGCGGUAAAUACGAAGGGGGCUAGCGUUGUUCGGAAUUACUGGGCGUAAAAGCGCACGUAGGCGGAUAUUUAAGUCAGGGGUGAAAAUCCCGCAGCUCAACUGCGGAACUGCCUUUGAUACUGGGUAUCUUGAGUAUGGAAAGAGGUAAGUGG
Molecule: ribosomal RNA, 594 nt
Filed under: uncultured bacterium
Lineage: Bacteria
Description: bacterial SSU rRNA
Rfam family: Bacterial small subunit ribosomal RNA
Source: RNAcentral